Pteropus alecto (black flying fox) is the source of this 93-nucleotide non-coding RNA. The record is from Rfam. NCBI's taxonomy places the organism in Eukaryota, Metazoa, Chordata, Mammalia, Chiroptera, Pteropodidae.
GUCUACGGCCAUGCCACUCUGAACAAGCCCAAUCCUCGGGCCUGGUUAGUACUUGGAUAGGAGACCACCUAGGAAGACCAGGUGCUGUAGGCG